This 30-nucleotide non-coding RNA is filed under the name Rattus norvegicus (Norway rat). The record is from RNAcentral. Lineage: Eukaryota; Metazoa; Chordata; Mammalia; Rodentia; Muridae.
UCAAAGUCAGACACUCGACCAUUGGAAGAU